UCUAGAGGGUGGUGCAACAUCUCUGGAUGUAAAUGGUACUCUUACAAAUGGUGAUGGUGAAAAGAAAAGGAGCAGCUUGUUAGUCUGAACUCGGUCUAGUUCAAACCAAAACAUCUUUUCAUCCUUGAAAUUCUCUGCAAUUACAAGGUUGAACUUUUUUUCAACCAAGGGCUCACACCGCACUAGGACUCAUACUAUUACCUUACUCUUGUGACAAAAAUUGCAUUAAAGAGAUACGUUUCGGGUUGGAGGAAGUUUGGGGUACGGGUCCUAAUGUCAUGUGAAGAAAAGUUCAGCCCAAUAAUUGCAGAGAAACAUAUGUUUGGUUUGAACUAGACCGAUGUCAACAAACAAGCUGCUUCGUUUCUAUUCACCAUCAACAUCUUUAAUUGCACCAUCGACGUCCAGAAAUGCUGCACCACCCCUCUAGA
RNAcentral lists this microRNA precursor (431 nucleotides) under Arabidopsis lyrata. RNAcentral's name for it is "miR833 stem-loop (aly-MIR833)". Its record names the gene aly-MIR833. Lineage: Eukaryota; Viridiplantae; Streptophyta; Magnoliopsida; Brassicales; Brassicaceae. The record is from miRBase by way of RNAcentral.